This 468-nucleotide ribosomal RNA is filed under the name uncultured bacterium. RNAcentral describes it as "partial 16S ribosomal RNA". It matches the Rfam family "Bacterial small subunit ribosomal RNA", at positions 28 to 507 of the family's 1533-position model. The record is from RNAcentral.
GACGAACGCUGGCGGCGUGCUUAACACAUGCAAGUCGAACGGAAAGGCCCUGCUUUUGUGGGGUGCUCGAGUGGCGAACGGGUGAGUAACACGUGAGUAACCUGCCCUUGACUUUGGGAUAACUUCAGGAAACUGGUGCUAAUACCGGAUAGGAGCUCCUGCUGCAUGGUGGGGGUUGGAAAGUUUCGGCGGUUGGGGAUGGACUCGCGGCUUAUCAGCUUGUUGGUGGGGUAGUGGCUUACCAAGGCUUUGACGGGUAGCCGGCCUGAGAGGGUGACCGGCGACAUUGGGACUGAGAUACGGCCCAGACUCCUACGGGAGGCAGCAGUGGGGAAUAUUGCACAAUGGGCGGAAGCCUGAUGCAGCAACGCCGCGUGCGGGAUGACGGCCUUCGGGUUGUAAACCGCUUUCGCCUGUGACGAAGCGUGAGUGACGGUAAUGGGUAAAGAAGCACCGGCUAACUACGUG